Long non-coding RNA from Lingula anatina, 630 nucleotides. NCBI's taxonomy places the organism in Eukaryota, Metazoa, Brachiopoda, Lingulata, Lingulida, Lingulidae. The record is from RefSeq and is a predicted model, not a curated record.
AGCAAAAAAUCAAAGAAGAAGAAGGGAGCAGCCAAUGGUAAAACUACAUCUAAGAAAGCUGCACCAGCUAAGGCAAAGCCUACAUCUGCCAAGAAAGCAAGCAAAGGAAAGAAAGUAAAAUGAAGUAAAAGAGAGCAGACAGUUGAAUUGACCCAUGGACUUUUAUCUUUGUUCAAAAUCUCAUUUGUCAGAAGUUGCUGACUAAGUAUAAUCAGUUUUGCAGUUCGAUGGUGCUAUGAAAUAAUGUCUCCAAAAUCACCAAAUCUGAUUCGUUUUUUCUGUUUUGUUUUGGCAGUAAUUUUCUUAACUUUGUGGGGUUUUGCAUUAUAAUAUAACAGUUAAAAAUGUUUAUCAGUUAUUUUUUCUUAAAAAAAAAAGAAGCGCGUUGGUUUAUUUGAAAGUUGGUUCUUUUUAAAAAUAAGUAAUCAUGAACAUAAUUUCGAUGAGUCUUGGAUAUCUCCUGGUAUAUGAUUUUUUGUUCAGUUUGAUAGUGAAACUGAUCUGUUAGAUUGGCAAUAAUUUAUCCAAGUACAAGGCACAGUUAUUAAAUUAUGGCAGCUAAAGUUUAAUCAAAGUUCAACCGAAAUUGUGCGCUAUACAGAAUUAACCAAUAAAAUACUUUGAACAAAA